ACUAAUUUGCAUAAAUAUAUGCAAAAAAUGACCUGCCAUAGAGUGGACUAUGCAUGAUAAUUGACCCAUGUAGCAAUGUAGAAAGUUCAAUGGAUUGAUACUUGAUAGCCUCCAAUGAAGGUCAUUUAUGACAGUGUUUUGAGUUUAAAGAUAUUACCAGUAAAAAAUUGUCAGAUUUUUAGAUAACAUAAGUUCAUAACACAACACUUUUAGAUGACAGGUCAUUGCAACUUUUUCCCAACAUGCAAUGUCAACAACCAUAUGGGUUUUAGUUUAUUGGCCAUUUAGAGAUCACUAUGGAUAUGAAAGGGAGAAAAGAAAACUUAUAAAAUUAGAAAAAUGUCUUGCCUAAAUGUUUGAACCCAUCAACAUUGCCAAGAAACCACUCAACCUAAAAGCUUAAACUUAGUAGGUCUGUGCUUGUUCACACUUUAAGCCUAGUGAGCUUUCGCUUGUGGUGGUGUAAUAGAGAGAUAUAUAACUAUUCUUAGAAUUCUCAUUUAAAAGCUUAAACUUUUAGGAUGAGUGGUUUCUUGAUAAUAGUAAUUAAAAAAAAUAAAGAAAUAUUCUGAAUAGAGUUUCAGUUUUUAUGGUAUUGAUUCAUAUUAUAUUCUGACGGAUAUAAUUCUGUAAUUCAAUCUGAUUCUUACUUUUUUACACUAUGUUUGGAUAGGUGAAAAAGGGAGAGGAAGGAAAAUAAGUAGGAGAAAAUAAUUUUGAAAAGACAUUUUUUUUUUGUUUGGAUAAGAGAAGGCCAAUAAAGGAGGG
RNAcentral lists this unclassified non-coding RNA (768 nucleotides) under Hevea brasiliensis (rubber tree). Lineage: Eukaryota; Viridiplantae; Streptophyta; Magnoliopsida; Malpighiales; Euphorbiaceae. The record is from RNAcentral.